RNAcentral lists this ribosomal RNA (432 nucleotides) under uncultured bacterium. RNAcentral's name for it is "bacterial SSU rRNA". It matches the Rfam family "Bacterial small subunit ribosomal RNA", at positions 958 to 1392 of the family's 1533-position model. The record is from RNAcentral.
AACGCGAAGAACCUUACCAGAGCUUGACAUCUCCUGCAUAGUCCGUAAUGGGAUGAAAUCCUUCGGGACAGGAAGACAGGUGGUGCAUGGUUGUCGUCAGCUCGUGUCGUGAGAUGUUGGGUUAAGUCCCGCAACGAGCGCAACCCUUAUACUUAGUUGCCAUCAUUAAGUUGGGCACUCUAAGUAGACUGCCGGAGACAAUUCGGAGGAAGGUGGGGAUGACGUCAAAUCAUCAUGCCCCUUAUGUUCUGGGCUACACACGUGCUACAAUGGGUAUAACAACGGGAAGCAAGCCAGUGAUGGUGAGCAAAUCCCUAAAAAAUACUCCCAGUUCAGAUUGUUCUCUGCAACUCGAGAACAUGAAGUCGGAGUUGCUAGUAAUCGCGAAUCAGCAUGUCGCGGUGAAUACGUUCCCGGGUCUUGUACACACCG